CACGCCGUAAACGAUGGAUACUAGGUGUGGGGGGACUGACCCCUUCCGUGCCGCAGUUAACACAAUAAGUAUCCCACCUGGGGAGUACGAUCGCAAGGUUGAAACUCAAAGGAAUUGACGGGGGCCCGCACAAGCGGUGGAGUAUGUGGUUUAAUUCGAAGCAACGCGAAGAACCUUACCAGGGCUUGACAUGGAGACGACCGCGCUAGAGAUAGCGCUUCCCUUCGGGGCGUCUCACACAGGUGG
This 246-nucleotide ribosomal RNA is filed under the name uncultured Oscillospiraceae bacterium. RNAcentral's name for it is "partial 16S ribosomal RNA". It matches the Rfam family "Bacterial small subunit ribosomal RNA", at positions 796 to 1041 of the family's 1533-position model. The record is from RNAcentral. Lineage: Bacteria; Bacillati; Bacillota; Clostridia; Eubacteriales; Oscillospiraceae.